AGAGAUGUGUGAUGACGCAUAUCAAUAAGCGGAGGAAAAGAAACUAACAAGGAUUCCCUUAGUAACGGCGAGUGAAGCGGGAAGAGCUCAAAUUUGAAAUCUUCAAGGUUCUACCUUGACGAAUUGUAGUUUAUAGAAGUGUUUUCUGUUAGUGGAGUGGCAAAAGUUCUUUGGAAUAGGACAUCAUAGAGGGUGAGAAUCCCGUAUUUGGUCAUUCCUCCUAGCGUUGUGAUACACUUUCAACGAGUCGGAUUGUUUGGGAAUGCAGUCCAAAAUGGGUGGUAAAUUUCAUCUAAAGCUAAAUACUGGCGAGAGGCCGAUAGCGAACAAGUACCGUGAGGGAAAGAUGAAAAGAACUUUGAAAAGAGAGUUAAACAGUACGUGAAAUUGUCAAAAGGGAAGCGUUUGACACCAGUGUUGUUUUUCCGAAAAUCAAUUACGAAUGUUUUGUUUUUAAGGAGUUAUGACUUCAUCGGCUUGCUCCUUUCUUUAUGAAACUUUCUUAAUGCACUUUUCGGUUAACAAGUCAACAUCAAUUUCUUUUGUUGUAAAAGGGUAUGAGGAAGGUGGCUUUCUUUUCGGAGAAAGUGUUUAUAGCCUUGUGCCUCUGCAAUCGGAGAGAUUGAGGUCUGCAGCGUAGAUCCUUCGGGGUUAGAUACGUUUGUGCUAAGUUAUAGCUUUUCAUAGACAACUUGUUGACUAUGUUUAGUCUUGUAGCUUACUCGCUUACGCUAUUUUACCUACGCUUAGGAUGUUGAACUCUAUCACACACAG
This 774-nucleotide ribosomal RNA is filed under the name uncultured Neocallimastigales. Its description in RNAcentral is "partial large subunit ribosomal RNA". It matches the Rfam family "Eukaryotic large subunit ribosomal RNA", at positions 23 to 621 of the family's 3401-position model. Lineage: Eukaryota; Fungi; Neocallimastigomycota; Neocallimastigomycetes; Neocallimastigales. The record is from RNAcentral.